Chroicocephalus ridibundus (black-headed gull) is the source of this 2253-nucleotide RNA transcript. It is a transcript of the gene named diphthamide biosynthesis 3, with no coding region annotated. The record is from RefSeq and is a predicted model, not a curated record. The transcript is spliced from 4 exons. Lineage: Eukaryota; Metazoa; Chordata; Aves; Charadriiformes; Laridae.
CUCCUGCGUCCCUUCCGCCUCCUCCCGUCUCUUCCUCCCCCCCUCCCCGGGGCGCCAUGUCGGUGUUCCACGAUGAGGUGGAGAUCGAGGACUUCGAGUACGAUGAAGAGACCGAGACCUACAGCUACCCGUGCCCCUGCGGGGACCGCUUCCUCAUCACGCGGGAGGACCUGGAGAACGGCGAGGACGUGGCCACCUGCCCUAGCUGCUCCCUUAUCCUGCGCGUCAUUUACGACCAGGAACAGUUCAUGCGUGAUGAAGUCGUUGCAGAACCUUUGACAAACAAGGAGUUGAUUAAAUGCUGAUGAAUGCAUCCUGAACCGUUGCUGCUUUAGAAUAAGAAAGUAAGGACAUGGCAACUGUGGAAAGAGACAUGGUCCUCUUCCUGGAAGUGCUCGCUACUGUGAGAUACAGGUCCUUGACUCUGCACAGAGGAGGCCAGUGUGAUGAAAACAGCAUCGUGUGAACAUUAAUGGAGGAAGUUGUAUUCACUAGAGAUUACAGAGGCUGGAACAAGAUCAACUUCAGAUAUUCAUGCUCUGAAAUUGCUAACACUGUUAACACUGUUAAACACCACUAAACUCCCAUAUAAUAUUGAAAACAAGCAAUACGCUGUCUAGCCACAAUUUUAUGGGAGAAAUAAAGAUAAUUUGUUCUUCAUUAAACUAAAAAGGCUUAGCUUCUCCAAGUAGUCAGAUUCUUGUUUGCAUCUCAAAGAAACUUGCUGAGAAGGUCAUGUACUUUUCACUCCUUGUGCCUGUACGUCAGUGGCGUACGCGAUUAGUUUUUAAUAGUUGCUCCAGAAGUCCAUGACAGCGACCUUGGACCUCCAAGAGCUGAGGUCAUGAGGCCACCAAUUUAAGCUGUUGCACUUGUUCCAUUUGUCUUUGUGUCAGGGAAGUUGUAACGUCCUGAAGGACACUUACGUUAACACCUUGGCAUUUCUUCCCUCCAUCACAAUUUUUAACUUUGGUUCUCCACACCAGUCAAAAAAAUUACCUCCUUUGCAGAACAUCAGUUAAAUAAAGAACAUUACCUAGAUUACCAGGUCCAUCUACCAAGAAGCAAAUGCUGAUUAGUUUCAAAUAAACCUUCAAAAUUUCAGUUAAGUGCACUGACAGCUGUGUGUUGUCACUAAGAAAAACAGUUGCUAUGUAUGCUGUUUCCAUGCCUAUUACAGUUUAAAGUUCAGGCUAACUGUAGUGGUAGGUGUUUAUUAACAUUGAAAAAUGGAAGCUGUGCCAAGCUGGAAAACUGCUGUCACAAUGGCACCGGCUGUCAUGGAGGAAGUGGGUCAAAAGGGACUAACCAAGAGGGUAAAGGCUUAAGCAACCUGUCAUCACUCCUUCUUCCACCCCUUGCUGUCACUGUUUCGAUCUGUUUGCGUAUCAGGUGGUCACCUCUCCAAAGUUCUUGGCAGCUCACCAGUCCAGCACAGGCUUCCUGUCAGGUCAUGGAAAACCAGUGCCGUGCUGUUUGCCCUGCUGCUGAGCGCAGCCAGCCAAGAGGAGCUUGCUCCCAAGGCCAGGUGAUGCACGAAGGUCACCAUCAGAGCUGCCCCAUCCGGCAGCGCCAUCAUCCAGCCGGACAGGCGAUCACCAUGGCUACUGUAAGAAUUAUAUCUCUAAAACAACAUAAGUGAACAACAAAUGGGUAUUUUCUGCAUUAGGUUAUGUGCUGCAACAUGCAAUUCUAGCCCUUUAACCAGGUCAAGCAGAAAGUGGGGCUCUCAGAGAGUUCUUUAGAGCUCUACCUGUGUGGAGAUUUUUUUUUUUUGAGCCAAAAGAUCAAUCAUGGUGUCCACCAACCUCAGGCAGGAACAGCCCCGUGAGCCCUCGCGUUUUGCUUUCAAUGUCCGCCCUCGUUCUUCGUGUUCUUUGUCUUUCCUCUCCUCCAUAGAGAAGGAAGGAGCUCUGCCAGCAGGUGGUGAUCUAAGGGAAUAAUUCAAAAUACGUGUGAUACUGGUGUUGGCAGCUGUGUAAUUGAGAAGUAAACUUUUGCAAGCCCCAAAUAAGGGGUCAUCGUUGUGGAGUGUUUCCAAAGGAAGCAACUAGACUCACUUGUGAGUAUUAUGAUCUUAUGCCUGCUCUCUUCCUUCUAGUGGAAAAGUAAUUUAAUUUGCAUUCAUGAAGUAGUAAUUAAUUCAUGAAUAUUUGCCCCACAUAUAUAUUGUUAAAUAAGGUCUUUUUUUUUUUCUCUUUUCCAUAUUUUCAGUUGUUUUCUGAUGAAUACAGUGUAAUUUUCAGUGUCCCA